Molecule: ribosomal RNA, 512 nt
Filed under: Klebsiella variicola
Lineage: Bacteria; Pseudomonadati; Pseudomonadota; Gammaproteobacteria; Enterobacterales; Enterobacteriaceae
Description: bacterial SSU rRNA
Rfam family: Bacterial small subunit ribosomal RNA
Source: RNAcentral
GCUCUCGGGUGACGAGUGGCGGACGGGUGAGUAAUGUCUGGGAAACUGCCUGAUGGAGGGGGAUAACUACUGGAAACGGUAGCUAAUACCGCAUAAYGUCGCAAGACCAAAGAGGGGGACCUUCGGGCCUCUUGCCAUCAGAUGUGCCCAGAUGGGAUUAGCUAGUAGGUGGGGUAACGGCUCACCUAGGCGACGAUCCCUAGCUGGUCUGAGAGGAUGACCAGCCACACUGGAACUGAGACACGGUCCAGACUCCUACGGGAGGCAGCAGUGGGGAAUAUUGCACAAUGGGCGCAAGCCUGAUGCAGCCAUGCCGCGUGUAUGAAGAAGGCCUUCGGGUUGUAAAGUACUUUCAGCGGGGAGGAAGGCGAUAAGGUUAAUAACCUUGUCGAUUGACGUUACCCGCAGAAGAAGCACCGGCUAACUCCGUGCCAGCAGCCGCGGUAAUACGGAGGGUGCAAGCGUUAAUCGGAAUUACUGGGCGUAAAGCGCACGCAGGCGGUCUGUCAAGU